RNAcentral lists this ribosomal RNA (269 nucleotides) under uncultured bacterium. RNAcentral's name for it is "partial 16S ribosomal RNA". It matches the Rfam family "Bacterial small subunit ribosomal RNA", at positions 87 to 354 of the family's 1533-position model. The record is from RNAcentral.
CCCGGCGACCGGCGCACGGGUGAGUAACACGUAUGCAACCUGGCCGCCACAGGGGGAUAACCCGCGGAAACGCGGCCUAAUACCCCGUGACGCCACCGGAGGGCAUCCUCCGGUGGCCAAAGGAGCGAUCCGGUGGCGGAUGGGCAUGCGGCGCAUUAGCUAGACGGCGGGGUGACGGCCCACCGUGGCGACGAUGCGUAGGGGUUCUGAGAGGAAGGUCCCCCACAUUGGAACUGAGACACGGUCCAAACUCCUACGGGAGGCAGCAG